AAGCAUAUCAAUAAAGCGGAGGAAAAGAAACUAACAAGGAUUCCCCUAGUAACGGCGAGUGAAGCGGGAUGAGCUCAAAUUUAAAAUCUGGCGGCCUCAGGUCGUCCGAGUUGUAGUCUAGAGAAUCGUUUUCCGCGUUGGCCUGUGUACAAGUCCCUUGGAACAGGGCGUCAUAGAGGGUGAGAAUCCCGUCCUUGACACAGAUUACCAAUGCUUUGUGAUGCGAUCUCGAAGAGUCGAGUUGUUUGGGAAUGCAGCUCAAAAUGGGUGGUAAAUUCCAUCUAAAGCUAAAUAUUGGCGAGAGACCGAUAGCGAACAAGUACCGUGAGGGAAAGAUGAAAAGCACUUUGGAAAGAGAGUUAAACAGUACGUGAAAUUGUUAAAAGGGAAACGAUUGAAGUCAGUCAUGCUUUCCGAGACUCAGCCGAUUCUGUCGGUGUACUUCUCGGUUGGCAGGCCAGCAUCAGUUUCGAUCUGUGGAAAAGGUUGGAGGGAACGUGGCAUCUUCGGAUGUGUUAUAGCCCUUCUUCGAAUACAUAGAGCGGGACUGAGGAACGCAGCGCGCCUUUUAUUAGGUUGGCCCUCGGGUACAUACGCGCUUAGGAUGCUGGCAUAAUGGCUUUAAACGACCCG
Molecule: ribosomal RNA, 633 nt
Filed under: Mrakia blollopis
Lineage: Eukaryota; Fungi; Basidiomycota; Tremellomycetes; Cystofilobasidiales; Mrakiaceae
Description: eukaryotic LSU rRNA
Rfam family: Eukaryotic large subunit ribosomal RNA
Source: RNAcentral